This 492-nucleotide ribosomal RNA is filed under the name uncultured bacterium. RNAcentral describes it as "partial 16S ribosomal RNA". It matches the Rfam family "Bacterial small subunit ribosomal RNA", at positions 29 to 507 of the family's 1533-position model. The record is from RNAcentral.
AGUGAACGCUGGCGGUAGGCCUAACACAUGCAAGUCGAACGGCAGCACAGUAAGAGCUUGCUCUUACGGGUGGCGAGUGGCGGACGGGUGAGGAAUACAUCGGAAUCUACUUUUUCGUGGGGGAUAACGUAGGGAAACUUACGCUAAUACCGCAUACGACCUACGGGUGAAAGCAGGGGAUCUUCGGACCUUGCGCGAUUGAAUGAGCCGAUGUCGGAUUAGCUAGUUGGCGGGGUAAAGGCCCACCAAGGCGACGAUCCGUAGCUGGUCUGAGAGGAUGAUCAGCCACACUGGAACUGAGACACGGUCCAGACUCCUAAGGGAGGCAGCAGUGGGGAAUAUUGGACAAUGGGCGCAAGCCUGAUCCAGCCAUACCGCGUGGAUGAAGAAGGCCUUCGGGUUGUAAAGCCCUUUUGUUGGGAAAGAAAAGCAGCAGGUUAAUACCCCGCUGUUCUGACGGUACCCAAAGAAUAAGCACCGGCUAACUUCGUG